CCUUGAUUUCCACCUCUGAAGCUGUGGACCAAAAAAAAAGCGACCGAAAAAAAGAAAAAACACAGAAAUAUCAGUUUCGGAGAAGAAAUUUUAAGAAACCAACCGAAUAUGGCGAGCGCUCUCUUGUCGACUUCUCUCUUUCUCCCUUUGCAAAGUAAGCAUUUUCAAGAAAGAGAAGUAGGUGGACUUGUAAGAAACUUCAGAAACCCAUUCUAUGGCAAAGUGUUGUACAAUCAAAACUAUGUGAGAAUGAAAACUACAAGCACCCAUGGAGGCCCUGCCGUGGUCGCAUCAGUGCUUGGAAGGAGGAUCAAGAACAAAGAGACUGUGAUUCCAGACCCAGAUUAUCGCAUACCUGUUGUUUUACUUGCUCUAGCUGGCGGGCUUGCCUAUACAAAUAAUCUGUUGCCAGCUGCACCUAUUGGUCUCCUUGGGUCACUUCUCUUGUUCCAGACUACAAGAGUGAGAUUUGUCUUUGAUGAAGAGGCUCUGGAGGUAAAAGUUGGAGACCAGCUUCAGGAUUCAGGUGAAAAUGUCUUCGUGGGUGGGAAAAACCGUUGGAAGUAUUCGACAUUUGUGAAUUGGGAGCUCUGGUGGCCAAAUUUCCCAAUUUUGGUGUACUUUAAAGAGACACAAACAAAACCUGAUGGACAAGUACACUUUUUUCCAGUGAUUUUUAAUGGGAAGCAACUUUAUGAUGUUAUGGUGGAGAGAGCUGGCCCUUCAAAUACUAGUGGUCCUAAAUAAUCCUAAAGGCAUGAGCUUUCUGCUUCCAACCAUCCUACGUUGCCAUCUCUAGCAAAUAUUUUAGUCUAGCGACUGAGAUUACCGUGACUAAUCAUUGGAGCUACAUUGAGUACAUAUUUUCACUCUUGGACUGUGUUUCAUCAGAUUUUUCAUUAUUGUAAUAACUCAUAUUUUGGCGCGGCUAUAGCCAGCUGAAACUUUUGAUUUUUGUAACGUAUACAGGGGGCAUUGUAUUUGUACCACUACAAUACGUAUAAUCACCCUAAAAAAAGGAAAAGACAAUCUCUUUGUAGUUGCACAAU
Molecule: RNA transcript, 1049 nt
Organism: Juglans regia (Persian walnut)
Lineage: Eukaryota; Viridiplantae; Streptophyta; Magnoliopsida; Fagales; Juglandaceae
Exons: 9
Source: RefSeq, a predicted model, not a curated record